Molecule: ribosomal RNA, 590 nt
Filed under: bacterium E-2-0-2D
Lineage: Bacteria
Description: bacterial SSU rRNA
Rfam family: Bacterial small subunit ribosomal RNA
Source: RNAcentral
AUCCAGCCAUGCCGCGUGUGUGAAGAAGGCCUUUUGGUUGUAAAGCACUUUAAGCGAGGAGGAGGAGCUCUUGGUUAAUACCCAAGAUGCUUGGACGUUACUCGCAGAAUAAGCACCGGCUAACUCUGUGCCAGCAGCCGCGGUAAUACAGAGGGUGCAAGCGUUAAUCGGAUUUACUGGGCGUAAAGCGCGCGUAGGUGGCCAAUUAAGUCAAAUGUGAAAUCCCCGAGCUUAACUUGGGAAUUGCAUUCGAUACUGGUUGGCUAGAGUAUGGGAGAGGAUGGUAGAAUUCCAGGUGUAGCGGUGAAAUGCGUAGAGAUCUGGAGGAAUACCGAUGGCGAAGGCAGCCAUCUGGCCUAAUACUGACACUGAGGUGCGAAAGCAUGGGGAGCAAACAGGAUUAGAUACCCUGGUAGUCCAUGCCGUAAACGAUGUCUACUAGCCGUUGGGGCCUUUGAGGCUUUAGUGGCGCAGCUAACGCGAUAAGUAGACCGCCUGGGGAGUACGGUCGCAAGACUAAAACUCAAAUGAAUUGACGGGGGCCCGCACAAGCGGUGGAGCAUGUGGUUUAAUUCGAUGCAACGCGAAGA